CCUGCAGGCGGCCGGUGGUGUUGUGGAUGCUUGCGGUGCACCCGGUCCACUCGGUGAGAAUGCCGGCGGUGCGUUCAACGUUGCUCUUGCAGGUC
Molecule: transfer RNA, 95 nt
Filed under: Kitasatospora herbaricolor
Lineage: Bacteria; Bacillati; Actinomycetota; Actinomycetes; Kitasatosporales; Streptomycetaceae
Description: tRNA-Arg
Source: RNAcentral